CAUACACUAUCGUCUAAUUGUAAUGCAGGCAACUUAAUAAUAACAGCCGGUUGACAUAGGUAAAUAUAAAUAAAUAUAUAUCACACAGAGGCGAACUGACAUGCCGUUGAACCAAAAAUCCGAGUCACUUUAAACUACACCAACGGGCUAGGAAGAUAGUAAUCGAUUUACCCCAUUUUAUUAUAGCUUAAUAGGCUAAGCCUAUAUAGGCGGAUAUUUUGCUGUCCCUGAUUUAUUUAAUCUCAGUCCUUUUGGCCACAAUCGGCUUAGCGACUUAGCGACAAAAGACAGAUGGACGUGAAUUUGAAUUUUUUGUCGAUUACCCUCGAAAUUUAACUUUGGAAAAUCUUAUA
Molecule: unclassified non-coding RNA, 353 nt
Filed under: Melitaea cinxia (Glanville fritillary)
Lineage: Eukaryota; Metazoa; Arthropoda; Insecta; Lepidoptera; Nymphalidae
Description: misc RNA ENSMCXG00005007936.1
Source: RNAcentral